UACGUAGGGGGCGAGCGUUGUCCGGAAUCAUUGGGCGUAAAGCGCGUGUAGGCGGCUUGGUAAGUCCGGUGUGAAACCUUGGGGCUCAACCCCAAGCCUGCACUGGAUACUGCCUCGCUUGAGUCCGGGAGGGGAGAGCGGAAUUCCUAGUGUAGCGGUGAAAUGCGCAGAUAUCAGGAGGAACACCAAUAGCGAAGGCAGCUCGCUGGGACGUCACUGACGCUGAGGCGCGAAAGCGUGGGGAGCGAACAGG
This 253-nucleotide ribosomal RNA is filed under the name uncultured bacterium. Its description in RNAcentral is "partial 16S ribosomal RNA". It matches the Rfam family "Bacterial small subunit ribosomal RNA", at positions 524 to 776 of the family's 1533-position model. The record is from RNAcentral.